ACUUAAAUUGAAGAGUUUGAUCAUGGCUCAGAUUGAACGCUGGCGGCAGGCCUAACACAUGCAAGUCGAGCGGUAGCACAGAGAGCUUGCUCUCGGGUGACGAGCGGCGGACGGGUGAGUAAUGUCUGGGAAACUGCCUGAUGGAGGGGGAUAACUACUGGAAACGGUAGCUAAUACCGCAUAAUGUCGCAAGACCAAAGUGGGGGACCUUCGGGCCUCAUGCCAUCAGAUGUGCCCAGAUGGGAUUAGCUAGUAGGUGGGGUAACGGCUCACCUAGGCGACGAUCCCUAGCUGGUCUGAGAGGAUGACCAGCCACACUGGAACUGAGACACGGUCCAGACUCCUACGGGAGGCAGCAGUGGGGAAUAUUGCACAAUGGGCGCAAGCCUGAUGCAGCCAUGCCGCGUGUGUGAAGAAGGCCUUCGGGUUGUAAAGCACUUUCAGCGGGGAGGAAGGCGUUAAGGUUAAUAACCUUGGCGAUUGACGUUACCCGCAGAAGAAGCACCGGCUAACUCCGUGCCAGCAGCCGCGGUAAUACGGAGGGUGCAAGCGUUAAUCGGAAUUACUGGGCGUAAAGCGCACGCAGGCGGUCUGUCAAGUCGGAUGUGAAAUCCCCGGGCUUAACCUGGGAACUGCAUUCGAAACUGGCAGGCUAGAGUCUUGUAGAGGGGGGUAGAAUUCCAGGUGUAGCGGUGAAAUGCGUAGAGAUCUGGAGGAAUACCGGUGGCGAAGGCGGCCCCCUGGACAAAGACUGACGCUCAGGUGCGAAAGCGUGGGGAGCAAACAGGAUUAGAUACCCUGGUAGUCCACGCCGUAAACGAUGUCGAUUUGGAGGUUGUGCCCUUGAGGCGUGGCUUCCGGAGCUAACGCGUUAAAUCGACCGCCUGGGGAGUACGGCCGCAAGGUUAAAACUCAAAUGAAUUGACGGGGGCCCGCACAAGCGGUGGAGCAUGUGGUUUAAUUCGAUGCAACGCGAAGAACCUUACCUGGUCUUGACAUCCACAGAACUUUCCAGAGAUGGAUUGGUGCCUUCGGGAACUGUGAGACAGGUGCUGCAUGGCUGUCGUCAGCUCGUGUUGUGAAAUGUUGAGUUAAGUCCCGCAACGAGCGCAACCCUUAUCCUUUGUUGCCAGCGGUCCGGCCGGGAACUCAAAGGAGACUGCCAGUGAUAAACUGGAGGAAGGUGGGGAUGACGUCAAGUCAUCAUGGCCCUUACGACCAGGGCUACACACGUGCUACAAUGGCAUAUACAAAGAGAAGCGACCUCGCGAGAGCAAGCGGACCUCAUAAAGUAUGUCGUAGUCCGGAUUGGAGUCUGCAACUCGACUCCAUGAAGUCGGAAUCGCUAGUAAUCGUAGAUCAGAAUGCUACGGUGAAUACGUUCCCGGGCCUUGUACACACCGCCCGUCACACCAUGGGAGUGGGUUGCAAAAGAAGUAGGUAGCUUAACCUUCGGGAGGGCGCUUACCACUUUGUGAUUCAUGACUGGGGUGAAGUCGUAACAAGGUAACCGUAGGGGAACCUGCGGUUGGAUCACCUCCUUACCUUAAAGAA
RNAcentral lists this ribosomal RNA (1554 nucleotides) under Klebsiella pneumoniae KCTC 2242. RNAcentral's name for it is "bacterial SSU rRNA". It matches the Rfam family "Bacterial small subunit ribosomal RNA". Lineage: Bacteria; Pseudomonadati; Pseudomonadota; Gammaproteobacteria; Enterobacterales; Enterobacteriaceae. The record is from RNAcentral.